ACGUGGGCAACCUGCCUGUAAGACUGGGAUAACUUCGGGAAACCGGAGCUAAUACCGGAUAAUCCUUUUCCUCUCAUGAGGAAAAGCUGAAAGACGGUUUACGCUGUCACUUACAGAUGGGCCCGCGGCGCAUUAGCUAGUUGGUGAGGUAACGGCUCACCAAGGCGACGAUGCGUAGCCGACCUGAGAGGGUGAUCGGCCACACUGGGACUGAGACACGGCCCAGACUCCUACGGGAGGCAGCAGUAGGGAAUCUUCCGCAAUGGACGAAAGUCUGACGGAGCAACGCCGCGUGAGUGAUGAAGGUUUUCGGAUCGUAAAACUCUGUUGUUAGGGAAGAACAAGUACAAGAGUAACUGCUUGUACCUUGACGGUACCUAACCAGAAAGCCACGGCUAACUACGUGCCAGCAGCCGCGGUAAUACGUAGGUGGCAAGCGUUGUCCGGAAUUAUUGGGGCGUAAAAGCGCGCGCAGGCGGUCCUUUAAGUCUGAUGUGAAAGCCCACGGCUCAACCGUGGAGGGUC
RNAcentral lists this ribosomal RNA (525 nucleotides) under Niallia circulans. RNAcentral describes it as "bacterial SSU rRNA". It matches the Rfam family "Bacterial small subunit ribosomal RNA", at positions 115 to 624 of the family's 1533-position model. Lineage: Bacteria; Bacillati; Bacillota; Bacilli; Caryophanales; Bacillaceae. The record is from RNAcentral.